Molecule: ribosomal RNA, 253 nt
Filed under: uncultured bacterium
Lineage: Bacteria
Description: partial 16S ribosomal RNA
Rfam family: Bacterial small subunit ribosomal RNA
Source: RNAcentral
UACGGAGGGUGCGAGCGUUGUCCGGAAUCACUGGGCGUAAAGGGCGCGUAGGCGGCCUGCUAAGUCGGGGGUGAAAUCCUGCGGCUUAACCGCAGGGCUGCCUUCUAAACUGUCAGGCUUGAGCACAGUAGAGGCAGGUGGAAUUCCCGGUGUAGCGGUGGAAUGCGUAGAGAUCAGGAAGAACAUCAGUGGCGAAGGCGGCCUGCUGGGCUGUUGCUGACGCUGAGGCGCGACAGCGUGGGGAGCAAACAGG